CUAUUGCUUCUCAUUUUAAAUUAGUAAGAGCUUCGUCACUUCUGUCCAAUAGUCUUAACUGAUUGUCUUUCUUCCCUGGCAUAAUCAUGCUGUUAUAGUGUGCUGGCUAGUUUUUGUUUGUUUGUUUGUUUUUCUAUCAACUUAACAUAAGCUAUAGUCAUUUGAAAGAAUCUCAACUGACAAAAUGCCACCAUAAGAUUUGCCUGGAGGCAAGUCUGUAGUGCAUUUUCUUGAUUGGACUCAAUUCACUCGGAUUGUGCCACCCCCUAAGAAGGAGGUCCUGGAUGGUAUAAGAAAACAAUCUCAAUAAGCCACAGUGAGCAAGCCAGUCCUUAUGAAAAGCUGAAAGCUUCUCCAAGGGAAGAGACAGGAAGAGGAAGCAGUCUAGUUCCUUCUGAUAUGCUAUGAAGUUGCGAAGUUUACUAAGCAGUGUGUACAGAGCAGCACAAUCUCAGGAGGAGCCACUUUGACCUGGGGAAAUGCUUCUGAAAUAUUCUGCCAUCAGCACAUUUGUUUACUCCCCAGAGUUUCCUUUCUAAAAAUAUAAAUAAAAACUACUGCUAGCACGA
Long non-coding RNA from Mastomys coucha (southern multimammate mouse), 569 nucleotides. RefSeq lists it as uncharacterized. Lineage: Eukaryota; Metazoa; Chordata; Mammalia; Rodentia; Muridae. The transcript has 2 exons. The record is from RefSeq and is a predicted model, not a curated record.